GUUAAGGUUAAUUUAUUAUUUCAGAAAGAAAAACUUUUUCUAUAGAGAGUAGCCUAGGUGUACAGUGUUCAUGAAGUCUACAGUGGUGCAGAGUCAUGCCUUAGGCCUUCCCAUUCACUCUCCACCCACUCACUGGCUCACCCAAAGCAACUUCUAGUCCUGCAAGCUUUAUUCAUGAUUUUUGGAAUGUUUGAAGACAAACAUUGCCGUGGAGAUCACCUGGUAGCUUUCUGAGCAGGAGGCUGUGGACUGAGGGGAGCCAUCCACUCUGCCGAGAGCUUGAGAAAAUGAAGACUGAAAACAGAGCACUGGAGGUCGUUCAUACGCAAAAAUGCUUUCCCCUCGGAAUUGUCUCCAGCUCCUUCACCUCUUGGUUGUAGGUACAGACAGCAGAGACAAGAAGAGCCUUGAAGAGGCAGCCACACAUUGUGAUGAACAUCAAAUGGAUCCACGGCUCUGCGGAGGACCCAAGACAACUUGCUUGAAUUGUUAAGACCUUAUAUGAGGUCUCACUAUGCUGCCCUGGCUGGUCUCAAACUCCUAGACUCAAGAGAUCUGCCUGCCUCCCAAAGUGCUGGGAUUACGGAGAUGACCCUCUGCACCUGGCUUCAGUCACUCUUUGAUGACUGAGGACAAUCCAACUUUCUUCCUGGGAGAUAACGAUCCUCAGGUUUGGAUCCUGCAAGUCUUUUUUCUCUGCAUUCACACACGUGUUUAUAGCCGUG
This 725-nucleotide long non-coding RNA is filed under the name Homo sapiens (human). RNAcentral describes it as "HSALNT0353824". The record is from RNAcentral. Lineage: Eukaryota; Metazoa; Chordata; Mammalia; Primates; Hominidae.